UUCAACUUUCACGCCUCCUUCUCCAGGCCCUCCACGCCCUUCGGCCACUUCCCGUCUGCCUUUGCACCCUCCGGCGACCGGAGCCUCAUCCCACCGCGCCCAUCUCCCUCUGCACCCUCCAGCGCCGCCGCACCCUCCUCUGCCUUGGGCCCCUUCGGCCCUUCCCGUCUGCCCUCUGCACCGUCCAGCGCCGCCGCGCCCUCCUUUGCCUUCGGCCCCUUGGCCCUUCCCGUCUGCCUCUGUACCCUCCGGCGAUCGGAGCAUCGUCCAACCGCGCCCAUCUCCCUCUGCACCCACCAGCGCCGCUGGGCCCUCC
RNAcentral lists this long non-coding RNA (316 nucleotides) under Salvia miltiorrhiza (redroot sage). RNAcentral's name for it is "long non-coding RNA (SMIL_LNC011621)". The record is from RNAcentral. Lineage: Eukaryota; Viridiplantae; Streptophyta; Magnoliopsida; Lamiales; Lamiaceae.